This 222-nucleotide ribosomal RNA is filed under the name uncultured bacterium. Its description in RNAcentral is "partial 16S ribosomal RNA". It matches the Rfam family "Bacterial small subunit ribosomal RNA", at positions 109 to 334 of the family's 1533-position model. The record is from RNAcentral.
AGUAAUGUAUGGGGAUCUGCCCGAUAGAGGGGGAUAACUACUGGAAACGGUGGCUAAUACCGCAUAAUGUCUACGGACCAAAGCAGGGGCUUUUCGGACCUUGCACUAUCGGAUGAACCCAUAUGGGAUUAGCUAGUAGGUGGGGUAAAGGCUCACCUAGGCGACGAUCUCUAGCUGGUCUGAGAGGAUGAUCAGCCACACUGGGACUGAGACACGGCCCAG